Salmo salar (Atlantic salmon) is the source of this 54-nucleotide non-coding RNA. Lineage: Eukaryota; Metazoa; Chordata; Actinopteri; Salmoniformes; Salmonidae. The record is from Rfam.
UGUAUUCACUACUGUAAGUCACUCUGGAUAAGAGUGUCUGCUAAAUUACUAAAA